UACAGAGGGGGCAAGCGUUGUUCGGAAUUACUGGGCGUAAAGGGCGCGUAGGCGGCCAACUAAGUCAUACGUGAAAUCCCUCAGCUUAACUGGGGAACUGCGUGUGAUACUGGAUGGCUUGGAUGUGGGAGAGGGAUGCGGAAUUCCAGGUGUAGCGGUGAAAUGCGUAGAUAUCUGGAGGAACACCGGUGGCGAAGGCGGCAUCCUGGACCAUUAUUGACGCUGAGGAGCGAAAGCCAGGGGAGCAAACGGG
Molecule: ribosomal RNA, 253 nt
Filed under: uncultured bacterium
Lineage: Bacteria
Description: partial 16S ribosomal RNA
Rfam family: Bacterial small subunit ribosomal RNA
Source: RNAcentral